This 71-nucleotide transfer RNA is filed under the name Stegodyphus mimosarum. It matches the Rfam family "tRNA". From Rfam's summary of the family: Transfer RNA (tRNA) molecules are approximately 80 nucleotides in length. Their secondary structure includes four short double-helical elements and three loops (D, anti-codon, and T loops). The record is from Rfam by way of RNAcentral. Lineage: Eukaryota; Metazoa; Arthropoda; Arachnida; Araneae; Eresidae.
GCUUUAAUGGUGUAAUGGUAGCACACACGGUUCACAUUCGAGAGGUCCAGGUUCGAGACCCGGCGAGGGCA